UACAGAGGGUGCAAACGUUAAUCGGAGUUACUGGGUGUAAAGGGCGCGUAGGCGGUUAUAUGUGUGUGAUGUGAAAGCCCCGGGCUUAACCUGGGAAGAGCAUCGCAAACUAUGUGUCUGGAGUAUAUGAGAGGGUGGCGGAAUUUCCGGUGUAGCGGUGAAAUGCGUAGAGAUCGGAAGGAACGUCGAUGGCGAAGGCAGCCACCUGGCAUAAUACUGACGCUGAGGCGCGAAAGCGUGGGGAGCGAACAGG
This 253-nucleotide ribosomal RNA is filed under the name uncultured bacterium. RNAcentral describes it as "partial 16S ribosomal RNA". It matches the Rfam family "Bacterial small subunit ribosomal RNA", at positions 524 to 776 of the family's 1533-position model. The record is from RNAcentral.